RNAcentral lists this ribosomal RNA (809 nucleotides) under uncultured eukaryote. RNAcentral describes it as "SSU rRNA". It matches the Rfam family "Eukaryotic small subunit ribosomal RNA", at positions 68 to 884 of the family's 1831-position model. The record is from RNAcentral.
AGCGACUUGUACUGUGAAACUGCGAAUGGCUCAUUAAAUCAGUUAUGGUUUAUUUGAUGGUACCUUACUACUUGGAUAACCGUAGUAAUUCUAGAGCUAAUACAUGCAGGAGGACCCGACUUCGGGAGGGUUGUAUUUAUUAGAUAAGAAACCAAUCCAGCUUGCUGGUUGCGUGCCGAGUCACAAUAACUGCUCGAAUCGCAUGGCCUUGUGCCGGCGAUGGUUCAUUCAAAUUUCUGCCCUAUCAGCUUUCGAUGGUAGGAUCGAGGCCUACCAUGGCGUUUACGGGUAACGGAGAAUUAGGGUUCGAUUCCGGAGAGGGAGCCUGAGAAAUGGCUACCACAUCCAAGGAAGGCAGCAGGCGCGUAAAUUGCCCGAAUCCUGACACAGGGAGGUAGUGACAAGAAAUAACAAUACAGGGCUAUCUUAGUCUUGUAAUUGGAAUGAGUACAAUUUACAUCUCUUCACGAGGAUCAAUUGGAGGGCAAGUCUGGUGCCAGCAGCCGCGGUAAUUCCAGCUCCAAUAGCGUAUAUUAAAGUUGUUGCAGUUAAAACGCUCGUAGUCGGAUUUCGGGGCGGGCCUGCCGGUCUGCCGAUGGGUAUGCACUGGCAGGCGCGUCCUUCCUGCCGGAGACUGUCCCUACUCUUAACUGAGCGGGGUCGGGAGACGGCUCUUUUACUUUGAAAAAAUCAGAGUGUUUCAAGCAGGCAGCUCGCUCUUGCAUGGAUUAGCAUGGGAUAAUGAAAUAGGACUUUGGUGCUAUUUUGUUGGUUUCGAACACCGAAGUAAUGAUUAACAGGGACAGUCA